RNAcentral lists this long non-coding RNA (201 nucleotides) under Elaeis guineensis (African oil palm). Its description in RNAcentral is "long non-coding RNA (EGUI_LNC020384)". Lineage: Eukaryota; Viridiplantae; Streptophyta; Magnoliopsida; Arecales; Arecaceae. The record is from RNAcentral.
CUCCUAUUUAUAAAACCAGAGGGGGUGCCAACCAAGAACUCAUAUCCCAAAUUAAUUAUUGUAUCAGAUAACCAGAGUUCCUUCAAGCAGAAGAACUUAUCUAGUUCUAGAUAUGAUGAUUCCUUCUCCUAUGAGUGCACUAAAAUUAAGGGAUGCAUUUGGCAUCCUAUCCUAAUUCAAAUUAAUCUAGAAAAUGCCAUG